This 1789-nucleotide ribosomal RNA is filed under the name human gut metagenome. RNAcentral's name for it is "bacterial LSU rRNA". It matches the Rfam family "Bacterial large subunit ribosomal RNA", at positions 867 to 2684 of the family's 2925-position model. The record is from RNAcentral.
GCUUUAGGGCUAGCCCCGUAUUAGUUUAGCGGAGGUAGAGCACUGAAUUCCUAAGGGGGCGUCAAAGCUUACCAAGGGAUAUCAAACUCCGAAUGCCGCAUAAAUGAUGUACGGGAGUCAGACUGCACGAGAUAAGUUGGGUAGUCAAAAGGGAAAGAGCCCAGCCCUCCAGCUAAGGUCCCAAAGUGCGUGUUAAGUGGAAAAGGAUGUGGGAUUUCAAAGACAACCAGGAUGUUGGCUCAGAAGCAGCCACACAUUCAAAGAGUGCGUAAUAGCUCACUGGUCGAGAGGUCCUGCGCCGAAAAUGUCCGGGGCUGAAACACACCACCGAAGCCGAGGAAUCACGCAAGUGAUUGGUAGAGGAGCAUUGCAUAUACGACGAAGCAGCAUCGGAAGGAGCUGUGGAGCAUAUGGAAGAGAGAAUGCCGGAAUGAGUAGCGAGAUGGAGGUGGGAAUCCUCCAGGCCGAAUAUCCAAGGUUUCCAGAGUAAAGCUGAUCUGCUCUGGGUAAGUCGGGACCUAAGGCGAGGCCGAGAGGCGUAGCCGAUGGACAACAGGUUGAGAUUCCUGUACUGCUGUAUAUCAGAACUGUGGGGACACAGAGGGAAAGCACAGGCGCGGAAUGGAAAGCCGCGUGCAAGCGAGGUACCGGACUGGUAGGAAAAACCGCCAGCCAACGGGAAGACGUGAUGCGGACCGAAAUUUAGUAGGGAAGUGUGUGAGCCAGCUGUCAAGAAAAGCCGCUAUUGUGUAUACAGUACCCGUACCGUAAACCGACACAGGUGGAUGAGGAGAGAAUCCUAAGGCCGGCGGAAGAAGUAUUGUCAAGGAACUCGGCAAAAUGACCCUGUAACUUCGGGAGAAAGGGUGCCUCGAAAGAGGCCGCAGAGAAUUGGCCCAAGCAACUGUUUAGCAAAAACACAGGUCUAUGCGAAACCGAAAGGUGAGGUAUAUGGGCUGACGCCUGCCCGGUGCUGGAAGGUUAAGGGGAGAUGUUAGAGCAAUCGAAGCAUUGAACUUAAGCCCCAGUAAACGGCGGCCGUAACUAUAACGGUCCUAAGGUAGCGAAAUUCCUUGUCGGGUAAGUUCCGACCCGCACGAAAGGCGUAAUGAUUUGGGCGCUGUCUCGACAAUACAUCCGGUGAAAUUGAAGUACCAGUGAAGAUGCUGGUUACCCGCGCCAGGACGGAAAGACCCCAUGGAGCUUUACUCCAGCUUGAUACUGGGAUUCGGUAUUGCAUGUACAGGAUAGGUGGGAGGCUAUGAAGGAAGGACGCCAGUCUUUCUGGAGCCGCUGUUGGGAUACCACCCUUGUGGUACUGGGUUUCUAACCUGCCGCCAUGAACUGGCGGAGGGACAAUGUCAGGUGGGGAGUUUGACUGGGGCGGUCGCCUCCGAAAGGGUAUCGGAGGCGCUCAAAGGUUCCCUCAGAAUGGUUGGAAACCAUUCGUAGAGUGCAAAGGCAGAAGGGAGCUUGACUGUGACACCGACGGGUGGAGCAGGUACGAAAGUAGGACUUAGUGAUCCGGUGGUAUAAAGUGGGAUUGCCAUCGCUCAACGGAUAAAAGCUACCCUGGGGAUAACAGGCUUAUCACUCCCAAGAGUUCACAUCGACGGAGUGGUUUGGCACCUCGAUGUCGGCUCAUCGCAUCCUGGGGCUGUAGUAGGUCCCAAGGGUUGGGCUGUUCGCCCAUUAAAGCGGUACGCGAGCUGGGUUCAGAACGUCGUGAGACAGUUCGGUCCCUAUCCGGCGUGGGCGUAGGAUAUUUGAGAGGAGCUGUCCUUAGUAC